AUUGAACGCUGGCGGCAGGCCUAACACAUGCAAGUCGAGCGAGCGGCGGACGGGUGAGUAAUGUCUGGGAAACCGCCCGAUGGAGGGGGAUAAAUACUGGAAACGGUAGCUAAUACCGCAUAUUACUGGAUCUGCCCAGUUGGGAUUAGCUAGGUGGUCGGGUAACGGCUCACCUAGGCGACGAUCCCUAGCUGGGCUGAGAGGAUGACCAGCCACACUGGAACUGAGACACGGUCCAGACUCCUACGGGAGGCAGCAGUGGGGAAUAUUGCACAAUGGGCGCAAGCCUGAUGCAGCCAUGCCGCGUGUGUGAAGAAGGCCUUCGGGUUGUAAAGCACUUUCAGCGGGGAGGCGUUACCCGCAGAAGAAGCACCGGCUAACUCCGUGCCAGCAGCCGCGGUAAUUC
Molecule: ribosomal RNA, 406 nt
Filed under: uncultured bacterium
Lineage: Bacteria
Description: partial 16S ribosomal RNA
Rfam family: Bacterial small subunit ribosomal RNA
Source: RNAcentral